RNAcentral lists this ribosomal RNA (642 nucleotides) under Shigella sonnei. Its description in RNAcentral is "partial 23S ribosomal RNA". It matches the Rfam family "Bacterial large subunit ribosomal RNA", at positions 1 to 676 of the family's 2925-position model. Lineage: Bacteria; Pseudomonadati; Pseudomonadota; Gammaproteobacteria; Enterobacterales; Enterobacteriaceae. The record is from RNAcentral.
GGGUUGUGAGGUUAAGCGACUAAGCGUACACGGUGGAUGCCCUGGCAGUCAGAGGCGAUGAAGGACGUGCUAAUCUGCGAUAAGCGUCGGUAAGGUGAUAUGAACCGUUAUAACCGGCGAUUUCCGAAUGGGGAAACCCAGUGUGAUUCGUCACACUAUCAUUAACUGAAUCCAUAGGUUAAUGAGGCGAACCGGGGGAACUGAAACAUCUAAGUACCCCGAGGAAAAGAAAUCAACCGAGAUUCCCCCAGUAGCGGCGAGCGAACGGGGAGCAGCCCAGAGCCUGAAUCAGUGUGUGUGUUAGUGGAAGCGUCUGGAAAGGCGCGCGAUACAGGGUGACAGCCCCGUACACAAAAAUGCACAUAUUGUGAGCUCGAUGAGUAGGGCGGGACACGUGGUAUCCUGUCUGAAUAUGGGGGGCCCAUCCUCCAAGGCUAAAUACUCCUGACUGACCGAUAGUGAACCAGUACCGUGAGGGAAAGGCGAAAAGAACCCCGGCGAGGGGAGUGAAAAAGAACCUGAAACCGUGUACGUACAAGCAGUGGGAGCACGCUUAGGCGUGUGACUGCGUACCUUUUGUAUAAUGGGUCAGCGACUUAUAUUCUGUAGCAAGGUUAACCGAAUAGGGGAGCCGAAGGGAAA